Molecule: long non-coding RNA, 1323 nt
Organism: Astyanax mexicanus (Mexican tetra)
Lineage: Eukaryota; Metazoa; Chordata; Actinopteri; Characiformes; Acestrorhamphidae
Exons: 2
Source: RefSeq, a predicted model, not a curated record
UUUAAUGCUAAAAAAACAAUUCAUGCGAAAUACACGCAGGCAGGCAAAAAAAACCCAAAUCUGGCGGAACCACAAAUAAAAGUCCUUUCUCACUACCCCUAUUUUCUUUAUCAAGGGAUAGAUACUAUAGCAGUUGGUUUUUAUACAUAUACAGCCAGUGCAGCAUUUCUAUUUAAUAUUUUUUGUUUUUAGUUUUAUUUUAGUAUUUUUAUUUCUUUUUUAUAUUUAAUGAUCCAUAUAUUUAAUCUGAUUAGCUCUAUUUUAAUACUAAAAUACACGCAGGCAGGCAAAAAUAACCCAAAUCUGGCGGAACAACAAAUAAAAGUCCUUUCUCACUACCCCCAAUUUCUUAACCGAGGUAACAAGUAUUAUCGAACUAACGCAUCUAACGUUUGCAAUUCUUAAAUUUAUUUAUAACGCGAAAAUUAUUAACCUAAUAAUAGUAUUAGAGUGGAAAAGCAAACAAAACAAAUGAAAUCAAAUGAAAUAUAUAGCUGAAUAAAAAGAUUUGUUUAAUUUGGAAUAACCGCGAAGGCAGCCUACAGAGGGUUUAAGUCUGCAUUUGGGCAGUGCACACGGCCACUACGCUUCAAAAUAAAAGCCUCGUAGCGAGCGCUCUGUGUUUAAAAAACGCCUUUAUUAAAAUAAUUUAUCUGUAUUUUCUUUGAAAUUUGUGACCAUUAAAUAAAUUAAGUAAGAUAAUUGGUCAAGCAACUGAUUAUUAUGAUUAUUAUUAAUAGUUUAUAUAUAUAUUUAAAAAAAGUAUAUAUGAAAUAAAGACAUAUGAUCGGGCUUUUUAAUGGACAGCUAGAUAAUGGUCUUUCAUAGGGUUUAAAAACGGCCAUAUCGGCCUUAGUAGUGAGUAGCCACGUGGAGAUCAGCAGCAGGUUAAGAGGGUGAUGUGCAGAGAGUGUAGAAUAAUGAGGUUAUUUCCAGUGUCUGCUCUCCUCACUUUAUUAUUGCCUAAUAGGUGACCUUGAGAAGAUGGUUGGUCGGCUGAAGCUGUAGUAAUCCUGGUGGUUGGAGUUUGGCCUUUUGGUGGCACCAUGUGGACAGCAGAGCAUGUUUUUCACGCGAACUGUAGGUCUGGAGAGACUGGUGUAUAUAAAUGUAUGUUUGUUUGGUGUGCAUUUUAUUAUUUAUUAAUUUUUUAUUUUACUUUUUAUUACAGUAUGCCAAACUUUGGGCCUAUAUGUAAAUAAUUUAUCCUCUAAAGAAAUGCACUUUAUUAUUUUUUUUUACUCUUACUGCAUAUUGAGCUACUGUAAUGAUUUACUGAAUUAAACAUAUUUUAUCCUACAAUGUUCUGUACAAAUUUUGUUU